GGGGCUGAUCAGGAUUCGACGGGAUACACGAAACCCAAGGUGCAUGCCGAGGUGAGGCUGGCCUCGUAAAAAGCCUCAACUUUAUAGUUGCAAACGACGACAACUACGCUCUAGCGGCUUAAUAACCCGCUAAGCCCGUCCCCCAGCG
RNAcentral lists this transfer-messenger RNA (148 nucleotides) under Idiomarina sp. RNAcentral's name for it is "partial transfer-messenger RNA". It matches the Rfam family "transfer-messenger RNA", at positions 1 to 157 of the family's 374-position model. Rfam says of the family: Bacterial tmRNA, also known as 10Sa RNA or SsrA, is named for its dual tRNA and mRNA-like properties. Lineage: Bacteria; Pseudomonadati; Pseudomonadota; Gammaproteobacteria; Alteromonadales; Idiomarinaceae. The record is from RNAcentral.